CCUACGGGAGGCAGCAGUGGGGGAUAUUGCACAAUGGGGGGAACCCUGAUGCAGCGACGCCGCGUGGGUGAAGAAGCGCCUCGGCGCGUAAAGCCCUGUCAGCAGGGAAGAAAAUGACGGUACCUGAAGAAGAAGCCCCGGCUAACUACGUGCCAGCAGCCGCGGGAAUACGUAGGGGGCAAGCGUUAUCCGGAUUUACUGGGUGUAAAGGGGGCGGAGACGGCGCUGCAAGCCAGGAGUGAAAGCCCGGGGCCCAACCCCGGGACUGCUCUUGGAACUGCGUGGCUGGAGUGCAGGAGGGGCAGGCGGAAUUCCUGGUGUAGCGGUGAAAUGCGUAGAUAUCAGGAGGAACCCCGGUGGCGAAGGCGGCCUGCUGGACUGCAACUGACGUUGAGGCCCGAAAGCGUGGGGAGCAAACAGGAUUAGAUACCCCGGUAGUC
This 440-nucleotide ribosomal RNA is filed under the name uncultured bacterium. RNAcentral describes it as "partial 16S ribosomal RNA". It matches the Rfam family "Bacterial small subunit ribosomal RNA", at positions 338 to 795 of the family's 1533-position model. The record is from RNAcentral.